GAUGAACGCUGGCGGCGUGCCUAAUACAUGCAAGUCGAGCGAACGGACGAGAAGCUUGCUUCUCUGAUGUUAGCGGCGGACGGGUGAGUAACACGUGGAUAACCUACCUAUAAGACUGGGAUAACUUCGGGAAACCGGAGCUAAUACCGGAUAAUAUUUUGAACCGCAUGGUUCAAAAGUGAAAGACGGUCUUGCUGUCACUUAUAGAUGGAUCCGCGCUGCAUUAGCUAGUUGGUAAGGUAACGGCUUACCAAGGCAACGAUGCAUAGCCGACCUGAGAGGGUGAUCGGCCACACUGGAACUGAGACACGGGCCAGACUCCUACGGGAGGCAGCAGUAGGGAAUCUUCCGCAAUGGGCGAAAGCCUGACGGAGCAACGCCGCGUGAGUGAUGAAGGUCUUCGGAUCGUAAAACUCUGUUAUUAGGGAAGAACAUAUGUGUAAGUAACUGUGCACAUCUUGACGGUACCUAAUCAGAAAGCCACGGCUAACUACGU
This 496-nucleotide ribosomal RNA is filed under the name uncultured bacterium. RNAcentral's name for it is "partial 16S ribosomal RNA". It matches the Rfam family "Bacterial small subunit ribosomal RNA", at positions 28 to 506 of the family's 1533-position model. The record is from RNAcentral.